Molecule: long non-coding RNA, 639 nt
Filed under: Pollicipes pollicipes
Lineage: Eukaryota; Metazoa; Arthropoda; Thecostraca; Pollicipedomorpha; Pollicipedidae
Description: uncharacterized LOC119112893
Source: RNAcentral
AUAAAGUCGGCCGGCGGCGGCGGUGUCAACCCCAGUAGUGAUCGCGUCGCCGCCGCCUAUCUUUCACCAUGCCCUGCGACAAGUGCUGCGACGGUAAAGCCUGCUGCUCGGGCGGCGACUGCUGCAAGGACGGCGGCGUCUGCAAGUGUGCCAACUGCAAGUGCUGCGCCGGGGCCGCCGACAAAGACGGUGGCGGCCCGGCGGCAGCCGCGGAACCGGGGGCCUCGGCCAAGCCGGCCGAGUAGGGCGCAGUCUGGGGCAGUGCCGCCCGGGCCGUCCCCUCUCCCCGGCGCGCGCCGCCCGUGUCGUGCAAUGUGUGAGCGGCUGUUGUGAAUAUAACGUUACGAUUUAUAGGAACUGCUGAUGAGCUUCUGCCGCCGCGGGAGGGUUGUUACAAGGAAAGGGAAACGAAUCCAGCGAUGAACCCACUCCUGUGCGGGCAGGGUUAGGCAAAACCCCAGCCAUCAAUAGUGCAUUCUCUUAUUCCAGAGAUGCCAGCACUACGUAUUGAUGUGAGAUGUGAACAUCGCUGACAUAAACGUAAUUUGGGCAAACAGUUUUUUCUUAGCCAGAGCAGUAACGAGCUUGCAGAGAGAAGCUCCGUUUGUUUCACCCUGCCAAUAUAACGAGAAGCAAUCG